AUUGAACGCUGGCGGCAUGCCUAACACAUGCAAGUCGAACGGUAACGCGGAGAGCUUGCUCUCUGGCGACGAGUGGCGGACGGGUGAGUAAUACUUAGGAAUCUGCCCAGUAGUGGGGGACAACAUUCGGAAACGGAUGCUAAUACCGCAUACGCACUACGGUGGAAAGUGGGGGACCUUCGGGCCUCACGCUAUUGGAUGAGCCUAAGUCGGAUUAGCUUGUUGGUGAGGUAAUAGCUCACCAAGGCGGCGAUCCGUAGCUGGUCUGAGAGGACGAUCAGCCACACUGGGACUGAGACACGGCCCAGACUCCUACGGGAGGCAGCAGUGGGGAAUAUUGGACAAUGGGCGCAAGCCUGAUCCAGCAAUGCCGCGUGUGUGAAGAAGGCCUGCGGGUUGUAAAGCACUUUCAGUAGAGAAGAAAAGCCUAGGGUUAAUACCCCUGAGUCUUGACGUAACCUACAGAAGAAGCACCGGCUAACUCCGUG
This 488-nucleotide ribosomal RNA is filed under the name uncultured bacterium. RNAcentral's name for it is "bacterial SSU rRNA". It matches the Rfam family "Bacterial small subunit ribosomal RNA", at positions 30 to 507 of the family's 1533-position model. The record is from RNAcentral.